This 468-nucleotide ribosomal RNA is filed under the name uncultured bacterium. RNAcentral's name for it is "partial 16S ribosomal RNA". It matches the Rfam family "Bacterial small subunit ribosomal RNA", at positions 28 to 507 of the family's 1533-position model. The record is from RNAcentral.
GACGAACGCUGGCGGCGUGCUUAACACAUGCAAGUCGAACGGAAAGGCCCUGCUUUUGUGGGGUGCUCGAGUGGCGAACGGGUGAGUAACACGUGAGUAACCUGCCCUUGGCUUUGGGAUAACUUCAGGAAACUGGGGCUAAUACCGGAUAGGAGCUCCUGCUGCAUGGUGGGGGUUGGAAAGUUUCGGCGGUUGGGGAUGGACUCGCGGCUUAUCAGCUUGUUGGUGGGGUAGUGGCUUACCAAGGCUUUGACGGGUAGCCGGCCUGAGAGGGUGACCGGCCACAUUGGGACUGAGAUACGGCCCAGACUCCUACGGGAGGCAGCAGUGGGGAAUAUUGCACAAUGGGCGGAAGCCUGAUGCAGCAACGCCGCGUGCGGGAUGACGGCCUUCGGGUUGUAAACCGCUUUCGCCUGUGACGAAGCGUGAGUGACGGUAAUGGGUAAAGAAGCACCGGCUAACUACGUG